AUUGAACGCUGGCGGAAUGCUUUACACAUGCAAGUCGAGCGGCAGCGCGGCCUUCGGGCUGGCGGCGAGCGGCGAACGGGUGAGUAAUGCAUCGGAACAUGCCCAGUCGUGGGGGAUAACACUUCGAAAGAAGUGCUAAUACCGCAUACGGCCUGAGGGGGAAAGCGGGGGAUCGCAAGACCUCGCGCGAUUGGAGUGGCCGAUGUCAGAUUAGCUAGUUGGUGGGGUAAAGGCCUACCAAGGCGACGAUCUGUAGCUGGUCUGAGAGGAUGAUCAGCCACACUGGGACUGAGACACGGCCCAGACUCCUACGGGAGGCAGCAGUGGGGAAUUUUGGACAAUGGGGGCAACCCUGAUCCAGCCAUUCCGCGUGAGUGAAGAAGGCCUUCGGGUUGUAAAGCUCUUUCGGCAGGAACGAAACGGUGGGCUCUAACAUAGUCCGCUAAUGACGGUACCUGAAGAAGAAGCACCGGCUAACUACGUG
This 484-nucleotide ribosomal RNA is filed under the name uncultured bacterium. RNAcentral's name for it is "partial 16S ribosomal RNA". It matches the Rfam family "Bacterial small subunit ribosomal RNA", at positions 29 to 507 of the family's 1533-position model. The record is from RNAcentral.